This is a long non-coding RNA of Peromyscus californicus insignis, 2470 nucleotides long. RefSeq lists it as uncharacterized. The record is from RefSeq and is a predicted model, not a curated record. The transcript has 7 exons. Lineage: Eukaryota; Metazoa; Chordata; Mammalia; Rodentia; Cricetidae.
UCCUGUCGGAAGCAGGAAUGAUUUCACGGCCCCUCUUGCAUAUUAAUGAACUACACGUAACCCCAGCUUAGUGGUGCAGAUGCAGCCUUGUGGGAGCUGUGCCAGAGCGCAGCGAUAAAUACCAGCUCUAGGGGAAAUACAUUUCAUGAUAGAAUUAGGAGAGCAGCCAUCUGAGACGGCCACAGAAACCAGCCCCCUUCCCAGAAGGACCUCUUCGGAAGGAAGCAGCUAGAAAGUUCAUCCUGAAUCUUGAAGACUGUGCUUCCUCCUCACUAUACCCUCACUCGGGGUGAAGCUGCCCAUCUGGCAAAGGACGCAGGGUUUCUUGCCCCUGAGGUUGGCCCAUAGUCACCCGAGAGAGCUCUGGCAGCAGAUCUUUCCCCUGUUGAGUCCCGAGAUGCCUGCCGCCUGCCUGGCACGUGUUUGCAGGUGAGCUGGGGCCACCUAGCCAGUCUUCCCUUGGAUCUCUAACCCCAGCUACAAGGUAACAGAUACUUGUUUUCAGUCACUGAGUUUUGAGAGUUUGUGACAGAGCAGUAAAGAAUUAAUACUGUUGCCCUCUGUCACUUUAUGUUUUAUUUUCCGCUUGUAAAACUAAAAUAUGCCUAUUGUUAAGACAGAAAAACAAAGAAAAAAACUACCUCAAAAUCUGUGAACAGGAGUUUAGUAAUAUUUCCCACAGAAUCAGUGGAGUAAGCUAUUUGAAAUGUCAAGCAGACUAUGUUACUCCCUUAUUCAACCAUCCAAUGAUGUCUUGUCUCAUUUGGAAUAUCAGCUAAAAUUCUUGCUGUGGCCUCCCAGGCUAAGGUGCUUCCCCUUGCCCACAGGGUGCUGCUCUUUCUCCCACUCACAGGGGUCUCCUCCUGCACCCCCUGCUGCUAAUCAAGUCUGUCCCACACGCUCUUGUCUUUGGGUCACGUACUUGCUGUUUUCACGAUGACUUGCUGUUUCCCAGAACAACCUCGUGGCUGGCUUCCUUGCCACAUUCAUCUCUCAGCUGUGGCUUUUGUUCGAUUCAAAUGUUGCUCCACAGAGAUGCCACCCCCGAGCGUCCACCCAAACAGUGCCCUUCACCCACUGGCUCUGCACUUCAGGGAUGCCACGCUAUUGCUAAUUUACAAUGUCACUCAUGGCCUGCUGCAGCCUUCUCCCAUUGGAAUGUUGGAUGUACAAGUGCAAGGAUUUUGUUUCAUUUACUGCUAUAUAUCCCUAGCGCAAUCAACAUGUGUUGAAUAAAUGCUGUAACUAUUCCUUUUAUCCCUUUUAAUUCUUUUUUCUUUUUUCUUUCCUCCACACGGGCUUUUAGAUUUUCAAAGAUAUUGUAAUGUUAUAAGAAGAAAAUAAAAUGUAACUUUAACAGAUGAAAACUAAGCUGGGGAGAUAGAUGGCUCGGUGGGUAGAGGCACCCGCCACCAAGCCCUAUGACCCGAGUUUGAUUCCCCUAGGACGCACACGGUGGAAGGAGAGAGUCAGCUUCUGGCUCCAUGCAUUUCACAGCUAUGCAUUUCUUCAGCCAGUAAAACUACAGUGGAUUUGAUUUAGCCGACAGGACAGUAGAGUGUCGCCAGGCAAGCAGAAGAGAAUUCGCUCACUGAGGCUUGCUCUUCCUAAGACUGUCCUGGGAAGAUCUGCUAGCCUAAAGAGCGAUGGAUUCCAUACAUGGAGGCAGUAUGUAACUUUUGGCAUGGAAGAUGCUUUUGCCUGAGGGAGAGUCAAAUCAUGAUCAGAAGAUCCAGUGGACUGGCAGGGAAAGAAUAUAGCCAACUCACCCUAAGCCCUGCGCAAGAAGGUACCCUGUCCCCACCUCUGUAUAUUGGAGAGUCUUCUUCAGCCUUCCUGGAGCUGAACUUUUCACCCUGGGCUAAGAGUGUGAGGGUUAAGAAGAAAAGCCUCCUGGGACAGCAAGAUGGCUCAGUAGGGACUUCCUUUUGGUCAUUCAUUAUCCCUCAACACUUUUAUGGACAGCUGAUCAGGGACCAAGAGGAAAGGUUAAACUCCAAGAUGUUGACUCUUGUAUUAGUGAACAACUAAUGAUCCUUUUUGCUUUCAAGCAUCCCUAAUAAAAUGUCUCCUAGGAUCACCACCUCUUAAAAUAUGAAGGGAGUUCAGAGGUCAUUUCUGAAGUGCAUGAAAAAGGAAACCUGGGAGAUACAGAGAUAGAUGGAAAAACAGACAUACAGCUUACCUGGAAUUUGAUCUUAGCCUGCCUGCUGUAUGAUCUGGUCAGCCUUCGAGGCAUGCCAUUACUAGACAAUGUGAUCUAUUAUUCAAAAUGUGGUUUGUUCUAUGUCCAGGGGACUUCAGUUAUGGCUCUUUGGAGUUGUGUUUGUAGUCUCUGCACAGAGGGACCUGGGGCCAAUUAGUACUUUGCAAACUAGAUGGUCAUUAUAAUUCUUAGUCAAUUUCAUAUGACUCUGAAGAACUUCCCAAACUUGAUUUCAGUAGUAUAUUUUUGAGCACUGAUGGCUGC